Triticum aestivum (bread wheat) is the source of this 871-nucleotide long non-coding RNA. RefSeq lists it as uncharacterized. Lineage: Eukaryota; Viridiplantae; Streptophyta; Magnoliopsida; Poales; Poaceae. The transcript has 3 exons. The record is from RefSeq and is a predicted model, not a curated record.
AAUAAUAGCGUACUACUUAGAUUGUGGUUUGAUAUGUCAUUACAAGCUUAAAAUUAUUUGCUAUCUAAUUUUUAUGUAGUUCUUGUGUAAUAUUUGUUUCUGCUUUAAUCUUAGUAUGUCAUUACAAUCUAAUUGUUCGUUCUCACCCUGGCUUAAUUAGCUGAAAACUGAUGUUCUGACGGUGCCACUUUCUAUUUCCAGUACUAUUGCUGAGCCACCUUACCAUCACAAGUAUUUGCCUGAGCUCUGGUGAUUACUCCCAAGGAUUACUCCACCAAAUACCAUUACUGAGGAGGGCAGCAGCCUCGGCGCGGCGAUCAAGUCGCUCCUUAGAGCGGAUAAGUCGUGCCACUUGGCCAGCGGCAGGAAGUCCGCCGAUCGUCGGGAUCUGCUUCAUGGACGGCGCCUGGAAGAAGCUCAAUGACGAGACCAUCGUCCUCUUCAAGUGGAGGGGCCGGCUCAAGCAGUCAGACUUUGGCGAGCUGUCAAGAUUUUGCUUUUAGUCACAGAGAUAGGCUUCAAAUGUUAUCUACCUUGGUAAGGUGAUUCGUUGUCUUCAGCUGGUAUGUUUGAGCUUGUGCCAGGUUCAGUUAGCGAUAAUAACGCCAACGGCGGAGGCGGAGCAUGCAUAGUGCAUAAGUUUAUGAGCUAAUUGUGAUACUAUUUAUAGAGUUUUCAUAUUUAUCAUUAGGAUGAUGAAGCCUGUCAAGUAUUAUCCAAUACUAAUUAGCUUUGCCUCAGAGCUUGGAAAGACAAAGUAGAGUUGUCAAUAAUGAUCAGCUACCAUUGAUAUCGAUGUUUCCAGAACAUCGUUUUCAAUUGUCUGUUAUCUCAUUGUGUUUAUAAGCAGAUACAACAUCUCCUGUAACAC